CUACGGGGGGCUGCAGUGAGGAAUUUUGCGCAAUGGGGGAAACCCUGACGCAGCAACGCCGCGUGAGCGAAGAAGGCCUUCGGGUCGUAAAGCUCUGUCAAGUGGGAAAAAAAUUCUUUGAUGAACAGUCAAAGGACUUGAUGGUACCACUGGAGGAAGCACCGGCUAAGUCCGUGCCAGCAGCCGCGGUAAUACGGAGGGUGCAAGCGUUGUUCGGAAUUACUGGGCGUAAAGAGCGUGUAGGCGGUUUGACAAGUCAGAUGUGAAAGCCCCGGGCUCAACCCGGGAAGUGCAUUUGAAACUGUUUCACUAGAGUAUGGGAGAGGAGAUUGGAAUUCCUGGUGUAGAGGUGAAAUUCGUAGAUAUCAGGAGGAACACCCGUGGCGAAGGCGAUUCUCUGGACCAAUACUGACGCUGAGACGCGAAAGCGUGGGGAGCAAACAGGAUUAGAUACCCUUGUAGUC
RNAcentral lists this ribosomal RNA (464 nucleotides) under uncultured bacterium. Its description in RNAcentral is "partial 16S ribosomal RNA". It matches the Rfam family "Bacterial small subunit ribosomal RNA", at positions 339 to 795 of the family's 1533-position model. The record is from RNAcentral.